This 223-nucleotide ribosomal RNA is filed under the name uncultured Candidatus Accumulibacter sp. RNAcentral's name for it is "partial 16S ribosomal RNA". It matches the Rfam family "Bacterial small subunit ribosomal RNA", at positions 636 to 857 of the family's 1533-position model. Lineage: Bacteria; Pseudomonadati; Pseudomonadota; Betaproteobacteria. The record is from RNAcentral.
CCCUUCUGGAGUUUGGCAGAGGGGGGUGGAAUUCCACGUGUAGCAGUGAAAUGCGUAGAGAUGUGGAGGAACACCGAUGGCGAAGGCAGCCCCCUGGGCCGAUACUGACGCUCAUGCACGAAAGCGUGGGUAGCAAACAGGAUUAGAUACCCUGGUAGUCCACGCCCUAAACGAUGUCAACUAGUUGUUGGGAGGGUAAAACCUUUUAGUGCCGUAGCUAACG